GACGAACGCUGGCGGCGUGCCUAAUACAUGCAAGUAGAACGCUGAAGGAGGAGCUUGCUUCUCUGGAUGAGUUGCGAACGGGUGAGUAACGCGUAGGUAACCUGCCUGGUAGCGGGGGAUAACUAUUGGAAACGAUAGCUAAUACCGCAUAAUAGUAGAUGUCGCAUGACAUUUGCUUAAAAGGUGCAAUUGCAUCACUACCAGAUGGACCUGCGUUGUAUUAGCUAGUUGGUGAGGUAACGGCUCACCAAGGCAACGAUACAUAGCCGACCUGAGAGGGUGAUCGGCCACACUGGGACUGAGACACGGCCCAGACUCCUACGGGAGGCAGCAGUAGGGAAUCUUCGGCAAUGGACGGAAGUCUGACCGAGCAACGCCGCGGGAGUGAAGAAGGUUGUCGGAUCGUAAAGCUCGGUUGUAAGAGAAGAACGAGUGUGAGAGUGGAAAGUUCACACUGUGACGGUAUCUGACCAGAAAGGGACGGCUAACUACGUG
RNAcentral lists this ribosomal RNA (495 nucleotides) under uncultured bacterium. RNAcentral's name for it is "partial 16S ribosomal RNA". It matches the Rfam family "Bacterial small subunit ribosomal RNA", at positions 28 to 507 of the family's 1533-position model. The record is from RNAcentral.